This 387-nucleotide ribosomal RNA is filed under the name Triticum aestivum (bread wheat). RNAcentral describes it as "partial small subunit ribosomal RNA". The record is from RNAcentral. Lineage: Eukaryota; Viridiplantae; Streptophyta; Magnoliopsida; Poales; Poaceae.
AUGUGUUCCAAGUUCCAACAGCCCCGAGGCCCCGAUGAGCGGCAGCGUCAACGGCAGCUGCAUCGCAACUCCGACGGCUGCUGCAUAGCAGCUCCGGCGUCCUGGCCGCUGCAUCAUAGGUUCGACGGCUGCUGCAUCCUGGCCGCUGCAUUGCAGCUCUGGCGGUGUCGACUCCGACGGCCGCUACAUAGCAGCUCCGGCGACGUCGUGGCCGCUCCAUUGCAACUCUGGCGGCCUCUGCAUCUCAGCUCCAGCGGCGUCGACUCCGACGCACCGCUGCAUUGCAACUCCGACGGCCGCAGCUCCGGCAGUGUCGGCUCCAACACGCUGCUGCAUCGCAACUCCGAUGGCAGCAGCUCCGACGGCGUCGUGGCCGCUGCAUUGUAG